UUACGGCCACACCACGUUGAAACACCGGAUCCCGUACGAUCAUCGAAGUUAAGCAACGCCGAGCCUGGUUAGUAGCUAGAUGGUUGACCGCUUGGAAAUGCCAGAUGCUGUAAG
This is a non-coding RNA of Acanthosepion pharaonis, 114 nucleotides long. The record is from the annotation of a GenBank genome assembly. NCBI's taxonomy places the organism in Eukaryota, Metazoa, Mollusca, Cephalopoda, Sepiida, Sepiidae.